RNAcentral lists this small nuclear RNA (23 nucleotides) under Arabidopsis thaliana (thale cress). Its description in RNAcentral is "snRNA_17602". The record is from RNAcentral. Lineage: Eukaryota; Viridiplantae; Streptophyta; Magnoliopsida; Brassicales; Brassicaceae.
AGCAUAAACAUAUUUGUUAACAA